AUUUAUAUAGUUUAAUAAAAACAUUAUACUUUCAAUAUAAAAUUGUUAAUAACAAUAGUUA
This 61-nucleotide transfer RNA is filed under the name Bombus florilegus. Its description in RNAcentral is "tRNA-Glu". Lineage: Eukaryota; Metazoa; Arthropoda; Insecta; Hymenoptera; Apidae. The record is from RNAcentral.